RNAcentral lists this long non-coding RNA (1355 nucleotides) under Rattus norvegicus (Norway rat). RNAcentral's name for it is "long non-coding RNA NONRATT019309". Lineage: Eukaryota; Metazoa; Chordata; Mammalia; Rodentia; Muridae. The record is from RNAcentral.
UGUUUCUAUAUCAACACAAAAUGCUCAGGCUUAUCCAUUAUUAUGAAAUAGAGGCUAUGUUUAGAAAUGGUUCUUGACAUAUGCAAACUGAACACAGAAUUUAGAAGAAUACUCUGACAUUUUAAUCUCUGUAUUCCCAAGAGUGAAUGAGUUGCACCGUUUAUCCUGGUGAUGGGUGUGUCUUUUCCUCGACCCAAGUCAUUGGCAGCAAGGCACAAUAACCUCAAUGUCUAGACAUCCACUAAGUUUUCAUUCCGUGGAUGAACCUACUCGUUUGCUUUAUCCAUGGAGGAAGGCUUGUACAUGAGGCUCUAAGAAAGUCAACUAUGGAAAGACAUUUAUUAAUAUGUUUGGGGUUUCAUUGGCAAACAGUAGUAACUAGGCAAUUUAAAAGGUCUAGCAGUUUUCUGUCCUAUUGAUGUAAUGAGAGUAUCUGAGUAAAAUAUUAGACUCUAGUUCAUUUCUAGAAUGGCUUAUGUCAAGCCCCUGUACUCUCCUGACCCUGAACUGGAUAGGAUUAUUCACACUUGUCUGGUGUUUCAGUUUUUAAAAUGGCCUAAAAAAGAGAUCAGAUUCAGAUCUUUUUUAAAGGAUUUUGGAUUAAUUUUUAAAACACUAAUACUAAUUAUACUUUUCUUUGGGUAGUGACUCUCUUCUUAUACCUAAGAACAUAUUACACAUGUCAAAACCAUUGCAUUUUGACAUUGCGAAAACAUGCUUUGAACUCUUGAACUACUGUGAACAGAAUCACUGUUGUAAAGACCUUUUUGUGUAAGCUCGCUGGUAUUCUUAAGUCUGUAAAAAGAUGUCGGCUUCCACAGGCCCAAAUGAAUGUACAUAAGGCCUGUGAAAAAAUAAAUUGGGUUUUAAAAUAAGAACUGGGCGAUAAAUUGUAUCUAAAAUGCGCAGAUGGGAGUUGUAGUGUGUGGCUGUGUUUUCAUUGUUGAAGGUUGAACAGAGCUCCACAGAGUCAUGUAUGCCAUUCAGAUGUUUCCUGAAUUUUGGAUUUGUGAACAUAUGCAUUUUAUAGUAAUAUAUACUUAUAUUGUUAAGAGAUAGUCAUAUUUUAGAAAUUUAGUUAAGAACUCAGCGAUAGCCUUCAUACCAAAAGGUUUAACUUUGCCAACAGCAAGUCAUAAAAAGUAUUUAUUUUGAAGCUUUUUAAUACAAAUUGCAUAACUUCCCACCGCCUCCAGGUGUACAUACUUCUCUGCCUAAAUGUUAUAUUUUUAUGUAUGCAUUUUCAGAAAGCAUAUUGUUUUGGAAAGUGGCAAAGACAAUGAAUUAAGCACUCGAUGCACUUGUUUCUGUAAAGCAUAAAGAGCUCUAUUUUAAAUAAAAGAAAAAUGUGUCAU